UAUGGAAUUGAUUAUGAAGAGACAUUUGCAUCUGUUGUCAAAAUAACUAUUGUACGAACUAUCUUGGCACUACGUCGCAAUGGUGGUCUCUCCGACAGAUGGAUGUGAAGAAUGCUUUCCUACAUGGGGAUUUGAAGGAAAAAAUCUGUCUCCACCUCCUGGCAUGUUUGCUACACCUUCCUCAGAGGAUUUGUAUUGCUUCUGUACUUUAUUGGCCUUGAGGUGCAAAUUACUCCGACUGGUACGUUGUUACACCAGCACAAAUACACGCAGGAAGUGAUUUCAUUGGCUAGUCUCCAAUCGAGUAACUCUGUUCUUACUCCCUUGGAGGUAAAUCUUAAGGUUCGUAAGGAGGAAGGCGAGCUUCUAUCAGAUCCAUCCUUGUAUCGGCAGCUUGUUGGGAGUUUGAACUACUUGACGAUUACUCGUCUUGACAUUUCUUUUGUUGUGCAGCAGGUCAGUCAAUUUAUGCAGGCCCCCCGACAUCUUCAUUUAGCUGCUAUCUGCCGCAUUAUCCGAUAUCUGAAGGGCACCUCUACAUGCGGGUUGUU
Juglans microcarpa x Juglans regia is the source of this 551-nucleotide long non-coding RNA. RefSeq lists it as uncharacterized. The record is from RefSeq and is a predicted model, not a curated record. The transcript has 3 exons. NCBI's taxonomy places the organism in Eukaryota, Viridiplantae, Streptophyta, Magnoliopsida, Fagales, Juglandaceae.